Molecule: ribosomal RNA, 233 nt
Filed under: uncultured Lactobacillus sp.
Lineage: Bacteria; Bacillati; Bacillota; Bacilli; Lactobacillales; Lactobacillaceae
Description: partial 16S ribosomal RNA
Rfam family: Bacterial small subunit ribosomal RNA
Source: RNAcentral
CGUCCACAGANUGGAUAACACCUGGAAACAGAUGCUAAUACCGGAUAACAACAGAUGAUGCCUAUCAACUGUUUAAAAGAUGGUUCUGCUAUCACUCUUGGAUGGACCUGCGGUGCAUUAGCUAGUUGGUAGGGUAACGGCCUACCAAGGCGAUGAUGCAUAGCCGAGUUGAGAGACUGAUCGGCCACAUUGGGACUGAGACACGGCCCAAACUCCUACGGGAGGCAGCAGGC